This 963-nucleotide non-coding RNA is filed under the name Haliaeetus albicilla (white-tailed eagle). Its description in RNAcentral is "12S ribosomal RNA". It matches the Rfam family "Bacterial small subunit ribosomal RNA". The record is from RNAcentral. Lineage: Eukaryota; Metazoa; Chordata; Aves; Accipitriformes; Accipitridae.
AAAGACUUAGUCCUAACCUUACUGUUAGCUCAUGCUAAACCUAUACAUGCAAGUAUCCGCGCCCCAGUGUAAAUGCCCUUAGCCUCUUAUUAAGAUGACAGGAGCUGGCAUCAGGCACACCCUUCACGUCCGUAGCCCAAGACGCCUUGCUUAGCCACACCCCCACGGGCACUCAGCAGUAAUUAACAUUAAGCAAUAAGUGUAAACUUGACUUAGUUAUAGCAUACCCUAGGGUUGGUAAAUCUUGUGCCAGCCACCGCGGUCAUACAAGAGACCCAAGCUAACAACGUUCGGCGUAAAGAGCGGGUCCUUACUAUCUAAGUAACUAGGGCUAAAUCGCAACUGAGCCGUCAUAAGCCCAAGAUGUGCCUAAAGCCGCCACCUAAGACGACCCUAGCACCUACGAUUGACUAACCCCCGCAACUGCUCCUUGCCAGGACAGUCUACAUACUGCUGUGGCUAGCUCAGGAUACUUACCCCACCAAAGUAUCCGCCUGAGAACUACGAGCACAAACGCUUAAAACUCUAAGGACUUGGCGGUGCCCCAAACCCACCUAGAGGAGCCUGUUCUAUAAUCGAUAACCCACGCUGCACCCCACCACUUCUUGCACAUAGCAGCCUACAUACCGCCGUCGCCAGCUCACCUCUUCUGAGAGCUUAGCAGUGAGCACAAUAGCUUCCCCCGCUAAAAAGACAGGUCAAGGUAUAGCUCACGAAGUGGAAGAAAUGGGCUACAUUUUCUAGAGUAGAAAACUACACGGAAGGGGGCAUGAAAUGGCCCCCGGAAGGCGGAUUUAGCAGUAAACUGGGACAAUAGAGCCCUAUUUAAGCUGGCCCUGGGGCGCGUACAUACCGCCCGUCACCCUCCUCGUAGGCCGUAUUCCUCAUAACUAAUAACCCAACAUGCCAAAGAUGAGGUAAGUCGUAACAAGGUAAGUGUACCGGAAGGUGUACUUAGCAUAC